This 377-nucleotide ribosomal RNA is filed under the name uncultured bacterium. RNAcentral describes it as "bacterial SSU rRNA". It matches the Rfam family "Bacterial small subunit ribosomal RNA", at positions 521 to 896 of the family's 1533-position model. The record is from RNAcentral.
UAAUACGGAGGAGGCAAGCGUUAUCCGGAAUUAUUGGGCGUAAAGCGUCCGCAGGUGGCACCUCAAGUCUGCUGUCAAAGACCGGGGCUUAACCCCAGAAAGGCAGUGGAAACUGAAGUGCUAGAGUGCAGUAGGGGUAGAGGGAAUUCCCGGUGUAGCGGUGAAAUGCGUAGAGAUCGGGAAGAACAUCGGUGGCGAAAGCGCUCUGCUGGACUGCAACUGACACUCAGGGACGAAAGCUAGGGGAGCGAAUGGGAUUAGAUACCCCAGUAGUCCUAGCCGUAAACGAUGGAUACUAGGUGUGGCUUGUAUCGACCCGAGCCGUGCCGUAGCUAACGCGUUAAGUAUCCCGCCUGGGGAGUACGCACGCAAGUGUG